RNAcentral lists this small RNA (797 nucleotides) under Stixis suaveolens. RNAcentral's name for it is "eukaryotic LSU rRNA". The stretch from base 373 to 528 matches the Rfam family "5.8S ribosomal RNA". Lineage: Eukaryota; Viridiplantae; Streptophyta; Magnoliopsida; Brassicales; Resedaceae. The record is from RNAcentral.
CGGUUCGCCGCCCGCGACGUCGCGAGAAGUCCGCUGAACCUUAUCAUUUAGAGGAAGGAGAAGUCGUAACAAGGUUUCCGUAGGUGAACCUGCGGAAGGAUCAUUGUCGAAACCUGUCGAAGCGGAGCGACCCGAGAACGAGUAUUGCGAUGCGGGGACGGGCGGGCCUCAACGGGACCGUCGUCGACCGAUUUCCGCGGAAGCACGGGUCGGCCGCCGGCUGCGGCCGGGGGCCGCGUCGUGCCGACCGUCGGAACAACCACCAACCCCGGCGCGGAAAGCGCCAAGGAACCGCGACGCGAGCCAGCGCAUCCUCCGCCCCGUGCACGGGGUGCGGUUGGACGCCGCGCUGUCUUGGAAUGCGACGAAAACGACUCUCGGCAACGGAUAUCUCGGCUCCCGCAUCGAUGAAGAACGUAGCGAAAUGCGAUACUUGGUGUGAAUUGCAGAAUCCCGUGAACCAUCGAGUCUUUGAACGCAAGUUGCGCCCGAAGCCUUCGGGCGGAGGGCACGUCCGCCUGGGUGUCACGCAUCGUCGCUCCAUUAGCCCCUCUCCACGGCGGUGGGGGGCGGAGAGCCGGAUGCUGGCCCUCCCGCGUGCUGUCCUUCGCGGCUGGCCGAAAACCGAGGCACGGACGGCGAGCGUCCGACUGGCGGUGGUUGAACCUCGUGCUCACGUCGUGCGCUCGCCUUCCGAAGGACUCGACGACCCUUUCGGAGCAGCUCGGAUGAGCCCUCGAAACGCGACCCCAGGUCGGGCGGGACCACCCGCUGAGUUUAAGCAUAUCAAUAAGCGG